GACGAACGCUGGCGGCGUGCUUAACACAUGCAAGUCGAACGGUAAGGCCCUUCGGGGUACACGAGUGGCGAACGGGUGAGUAACACGCGGGUGAUCUGCCCUGCACUUCGGGAUAAGCCUGGGAAACUGGGUCUAAUACCGGAUAGGACCACUGCCUGCACGGGGGGUGGUGGAAAGCUUUUGCGGUGUGGGAUGGGGCCGCGGCCUAUCAGCUUGUUGGUGGGGUGAUGGCCUACCAAGGCGACGACGGGUAGCCGGCCUGAGAGGGUGACCGGCCACACUGGGACUGAGAUACGGCCCAGACUCCUACGGGAGGCAGCAGUGGGGAAUAUUGCACAAUGGGCGCAAGCCUGAUGCAGCGACGCCGCGUGAGGGAUGACGGCCUUCGGGUUGUAAACCUCUUUCAGCACCGACGAAGCGCAAGUGACGGUAGGUGCAGAAGAAGGACCGGCCAACUACGUGCCAGCCGCCGCGGUAA
Molecule: ribosomal RNA, 478 nt
Filed under: uncultured bacterium
Lineage: Bacteria
Description: partial 16S ribosomal RNA
Rfam family: Bacterial small subunit ribosomal RNA
Source: RNAcentral